This 797-nucleotide ribosomal RNA is filed under the name uncultured bacterium. RNAcentral's name for it is "bacterial SSU rRNA". It matches the Rfam family "Bacterial small subunit ribosomal RNA", at positions 100 to 873 of the family's 1533-position model. The record is from RNAcentral.
GUCCGGGUGAGUAACACGUAGGAAAUCUUCCCAAAAGCGGGGGAUAACGUCCCUAACGGGACGGUAAUACCGCAUAAGCCCACGUCAGCUCCGGCUGAUGAGGGAAAAGGUGGCCUCUAUAUAUAUGCUAUCGCUUUUGGAUGAUCCUGCGGCGCAUCAGCUAGUUGGUGGGGUAAUGGCCUACCAAGGCUAAGACGCGUAGCUGGUCUGAGAGGAUGAUCAGCCACACUGGCACUGAAACACGGGCCAGACUCCUACGGGAGGCAGCAGUGGGGAAUAUUGGACAAUGGGCGCAAGCCUGAUCCAGCCACGCCGCGUGAGUGAUGAAGGCCUUCGGGUUGUAAAGCUCUGUGGGGAGGGACGAAAACGGCACGAAAGAAACGGCGUGUCCUUGACGGUACCUCCUUAGCAAGCACCGGCUAACUCUGUGCCAGCAGCCGCGGUAAUACAGAGGGUGCGAACGUUGCUCGGAAUUACUGGGCGUAAAGCGCGUGUAGGCGGAUUGGUGUGUCAGGCGUGAAAUCCCCGAGCUCAACUCGGGAACUGCGCCUGAAACUGCCGGUCUUGAGUAUCGGAGAGGGUGGCGGAAUUCCUGGUGUAGAGGUGAAAUUCGUAGAUAUCAGGAGGAACACCGGUGGCGAAGGCGGCCACCUGGACGAUUACUGACGCUGAGACGCGAAAGCGUGGGGAGCAAACAGGAUUAGAUACCCUGGUAGUCCACGCCGUAAACGAUGGGUGCUAGGUGUCUCGGGUAUUGACCCCUGAGGUGCCGUAGCUAACGCGUUAAGCACCCCGCC